RNAcentral lists this ribosomal RNA (693 nucleotides) under uncultured Enterococcus sp. RNAcentral's name for it is "bacterial SSU rRNA". It matches the Rfam family "Bacterial small subunit ribosomal RNA", at positions 808 to 1502 of the family's 1533-position model. The record is from RNAcentral. Lineage: Bacteria; Bacillati; Bacillota; Bacilli; Lactobacillales; Enterococcaceae.
GAUGAGUGCUAAGUGUUGGAGGGUUUCCCCUUUCAGUGCUGCAGCAAACGCAUUAAGCACUCCGCCUGGGGAGUACGACCGCAAGGUUGAAACUCAAAGGAAUUGACGGGGGCCCGCACUAGCGGUGGAGCAUGUGGUUUAAUUCGAAGCAACGCGAAGAACCUUACCAGGUCUUGACAUCCUUUGACCACUCUAGAGAUAGAGCUUUCCCUUCGGGGACAAAGUGACAGGUGGUGCAUGGUUGUCGUCAGCUCGUGUCGUGAGAUGUUGGGUUAAGUCCCGCAACGAGCGCAACCCUUAUUGUUAGUUGCCAUCAUUCAGUUGGGCACUCUAGCGAGACUGCCGGUGACAAACCGGAGGAAGGUGGGGAUGACGUCAAAUCAUCAUGCCCCUUAUGACCUGGGCUGCGCACGUGCUACAAUGGGAAGUACAACGAGUCGCUAGGCCGCGAGGUCAUGCAAAUCUCUUAAAGCUUCUUUCAGUUCGGAUUGUAGGCUGCAACUCGCCUACAUGAAGCGGGAAUCGCUAGUAAUCGCGGAUCAGCACGCCGCGGUGAAUACGUUCCCGGGCCUUGUACACACCGCCCGUCACACCACGAGAGUUUGUAACACCCGAAGUCGGUGAGGUAACCUUUUGGAGCCAGCCGCCUAAGGUGGGAUAGAUGAUUGGGGCGAAGUCGUAACAAGGUAACCA